UACGUAGGGGGCUAGCGUUGUCCGGAAUCAUUGGGCGUAAAGCGCGCGUAGGCGGCCCGGUAAGUCCGUUGUGAAAGUCAAAGGCUCAACCUUUGAACGCCGAUGGAUACUGCCGGGCUAGAGUCCGGAAGAGGCGAGUGGAAUUCCUGGUGUAGCGGUGGAAUGCGCAGAUAUCAGGAGGAACACCAAUAGCGAAGGCAGCUCGCUGGGACGGUACUGACGCUGAGGCGCGAAAGCGUGGGGAGCAAACAGG
RNAcentral lists this ribosomal RNA (253 nucleotides) under uncultured bacterium. Its description in RNAcentral is "partial 16S ribosomal RNA". It matches the Rfam family "Bacterial small subunit ribosomal RNA", at positions 524 to 776 of the family's 1533-position model. The record is from RNAcentral.